UACGGAGGGGGCUAGCGUUGUUCGGAAUUACUGGGCGUAAAGCGCACGUAGGCGGCUUUGUAAGUUAGAGGUGAAAGCCCGGGGCUCAACUCCGGAAUUGCCUUUAAGACUGCAUCGCUAGAAUUGUGGAGAGGUAAGUGGAAUUCCGAGUGUAGAGGUGAAAUUCGUAGAUAUUCGGAAGAACACCAGUGGCGAAGGCGACUUAGUGGACACAUAUUGACGCUGAGGUGCGAAAGCGUGGGGAGCAAACAGG
Molecule: ribosomal RNA, 253 nt
Filed under: uncultured bacterium
Lineage: Bacteria
Description: partial 16S ribosomal RNA
Rfam family: Bacterial small subunit ribosomal RNA
Source: RNAcentral